This 559-nucleotide ribosomal RNA is filed under the name Debaryomyces hansenii. Its description in RNAcentral is "partial large subunit ribosomal RNA". It matches the Rfam family "Eukaryotic large subunit ribosomal RNA", at positions 82 to 657 of the family's 3401-position model. The record is from RNAcentral. Lineage: Eukaryota; Fungi; Ascomycota; Pichiomycetes; Serinales; Debaryomycetaceae.
AGUACGGCGAGUGAAGCGGCAAAAGCUCAAAUUUGAAAUCUGGCACCUUCGGUGUCCGAGUUGUAAUUUGAAGAAGGUAACUUUGGAGUUGGCUCUUGUCUAUGUUCCUUGGAACAGGACGUCACAGAGGGUGAGAAUCCCGUGCGAUGAGAUGCCCAAUUCUAUGUAAAGUGCUUUCGAAGAGUCGAGUUGUUUGGGAAUGCAGCUCUAAGUGGGUGGUAAAUUCCAUCUAAAGCUAAAUAUUGGCGAGAGACCGAUAGCGAACAAGUACAGUGAUGGAAAGAUGAAAAGAACUUUGAAAAGAGAGUGAAAAAGUACGUGAAAUUGUUGAAAGGGAAGGGCUUGAGAUCAGACUUGGUAUUUUGCGAUCCUUUCCUUCUUGGUUGGGUUCCUCGCAGCUUACUGGGCCAGCNUCGGUUUGGAUGGUAGGAUAAUGACUAAGGAAUGUGGCUCUACUUCGGUGGAGUGUUAUAGCCUUGGUUGAUACUGCCUGUCUAGACCGAGGACUGCGUCUUUUGACUAGGAUGUUGGCAUAAUGAUCUUAAGCCACCCGUCUUGA